GUUAAAACAAACUUACUUCAAACUUGUUCAACUCAAUAAAUAUUUUGCAUAGAAGACAAACCAAAGUGAAUCUUCAAUGAAAAUAUGAUUUAUUUUAAAUGCUUUCUUGUAUUAUUUUUAAUAGUAGGCGGCUGACGCCUCGUGAGAGAUCAUAAGAAUAUAUAGUAUUUCAAAACACAAAGUAGCAUUUUGCUUAGGGGUAGAUCAACGAGUAUUUUAGUCCUUGAAAUUGUAAUGAUUUGCCAAUUUAGUCGCUCAAAUUUGCAAAUAGUUAGUCUCUUAAAUUGAAAAACAUUGGUCAAUAUAGUCUUUUUUCUUCUUUCAAAUUUAACACCACAAUUUUAAAAAUUAUAGGCUUGUUUUGAUGCAGCAAGUGACUAUUCAAGUCCAUAUGCUGGUUUUUCAUUGGUUUUGAUGGAUGUUUACUAAAGAGAUAUUUUGAUGGAGGGACUAAAUUGAUAGAUGUUCUUUAAUUUAAUGGACUAAUUUGCUAUUAUGUAAAUUUGAUUAUAUAAAUUGCUCAACCUUUACAUUUUCGAGGACCGAACUGCUUACUCACCUUGGGGUAGGAUAGAAACACUAAGUCGAAGACACUUUGUAGCAUAAUAUAAAAAAUACUAUGCAUUCUGGAUACCGAACUCUUUCGGUAUCUAAAAUAUAACAUUCAUUUAUAAUGGUGAAAACUGAAAAAAUCUAUUUUUGUUUUAUUAUUAAAAAUAUCUCUCAAGUAUAAGGAUUCGGUUGUUCAGAAGUACUAGUAGGGAUUUAGUUAUAUAUGAAUACUAAUAGGGAUUUAGUUGUAUAGUAAUCUAGUAUAUAUAUAUAUCUGAUGUAUUGUCAACAUAUUUCAAUUCAAUAAAAUAUAUUUUUACCCUAAUUCUUGAGAUGGCAUCAGAGAUCUCGGUCUCUGAGAGUCUCGCUUCCGCAUAAACCAGUCGCCUUCAUUGCGGUUUCUUUUUUUUGAAACCUUAGUCACCUUCAUUGUGGCCCUACUUGUUGCCUUCAUAGCAACAACUUGAGAUUUCUUUUUGGCAUGUUCGCUGCCAUAGUGUGUUCAAUAUUCACACUGUUACUAUUCACGUCCGUUUGACUGCCUACUUCACGCCACCGCCCACAUCACAAGACUCGUCUCCAUUAGAUCGGCCGAAACCUAAGGUGUCGUUGUCAACAGCCUAUUCACGCGCGCCUUCUAGUUCAACACGUGACGUCCUCUCUGGCGCGUGGUGCCCACGAGCCGCCUUCUAGACCUCCGUUCAACGCCGUUUUCAGCUAGAUUGCAGGUCGGCCGUUUCUCGUUUCGUUUUGGGGGUUCACUUUCUGAUCGGAGCACUUUUGAUUGUGGGUCAUUUGAAGCUCACACGAUUUUUGCUCGGACUUUUCUAUUGCGCCAUUAUAGCACACUUAUAAUUUGUGGAUAUUUUUUAGACAUUUGAAGUUUGUUUUGUUUGAUAGAUUAAUUUUUCGUCUCUAAUAUCGUUUGUCUGGUGAUUUUACGGAUAUGGCAGUUAAAGAAAUCAAAAGUGGAUUGGCCCGACUCAACGAAGAUGAAGUAGAGAAGAUUAUAUCACUUCUUAGUAAGAUGGAGAAACCAACAGGACAAGAAUUCAGGGAGGACAAUUGGUAAUGCUAGAACAGAAUGAUCUUUAUUACUUGGAUAAUCAAAAUCUUCCUCCAAAUCUACUCAACAAUACCAACUUUUUUUUUUCUAAAUCAAUAAAGACCAAUAGGAACAAAGUCAUUUUGUAUCAUUGUUGCCUGGGUCAUCCUUCAUUUAUAGUCAUAAAAUAGUCGUUUCCUUCCCUCUUCAAAAAAUUAGAGAUAGAAAGUCUUCACUAUGAGGUGUGUGAGCUUGCUAAACACAAAUGUGUACCUUUUCUAGUUAGUAACCAAAUGAGUACUUCUCCAUUCCGUGUAGUUCAUACUGAUGUAUGGGGUCCUUCUAAUGUUCCAAAUAUAUCAGGAGCCUGUUGGUUUGUAACCUUUAUUGAUGAUUGUACUCAGGCUACUUGGGUUUACUUGCUAAAACAAAAAUAUGAAUUCAGUUAUGUGUUUGUA
Molecule: non-coding RNA, 2055 nt
Organism: Cicer arietinum (chickpea)
Lineage: Eukaryota; Viridiplantae; Streptophyta; Magnoliopsida; Fabales; Fabaceae
Source: RefSeq, a predicted model, not a curated record